Molecule: long non-coding RNA, 2284 nt
Filed under: Equus caballus (horse)
Lineage: Eukaryota; Metazoa; Chordata; Mammalia; Perissodactyla; Equidae
Description: lncRNA (ENSECAG00000050864.1)
Source: RNAcentral
CUGAAUCUCAAAAAACUGUGUCACCUGUUCCAUUAGCUUUUCUCCCUCUUUGUUCUUGGUGCUAUCUGAUGUAAUAAUUAUCUCAGAGGAAUGCAACAGAGAGAAGAAAGUCAACUUCAAAGCUCUCUUUCUGCCUAGACCUCAUGCAUAGCAGCAAGUUACAGCUGACUUCAUUACUCUCAAGAAUUCCUCAUGGGAGAAAUGAUCUUUACACACAACUUUGAUUUCCAUGGGACACAUACUGUGAUUUUUACUUGGAGAAUAACCAAAAUUGGAAACAAGAGUUGCAGUCAAGGGGUUGUCCAAGGCUAUGGUCUCAACUGGAGCAUUGGCUGAGGGAGCAUCCAUUCCAAGCUUAUCCGCGGGAUUGUUGGAAGGCUUCAAUUCCUUGCUGGCAGUUAGCCAGAGGCCUCCCUUAUGUCCUUACUUUCUUGGCCACUCAGUACGUCAGCUCAUAACAUGGUGGCUGGAUUCCCUCAGAGUAAGAGUAAAAGAAGGCAGGUGCAACUGCCUGUCUUGAUACCCCUAUAUUCCUGUGAAACCCACUUGUCCCCUGAGGUUACCUGAAGAUGAUGUAUCAGUCGGAAUGCCUUUGACAAGUUCCAGUGUCAGCUGUGUUGGCUUAAACAAAAAGUACUGCAUAAGCUUCCAUAAAAAGAAAUCUCGAGGCAGGCAGCCGGUGGCUGAAUCUUUCCAUGUUCUGAUAUACCAGUCAGUCUAAGGUUUAUCCGACCUCCACUCGCUCUGUGGUUGUAGGAUGGCUAUGAAAUGCCUGUAUCUUCAUUCACUUGACUCUUCAGAGCCCUUUAAUUCAUUUCCCCAACAAUUGCAAAUCUCAAUAUUUGCAUGUUAAUAAGAUCUGCUGAAGAAAAACAUUCCUAUCUGCUCUCAUUUUUUUGCAGCACAAAAUCAUGACAGUGACUGGGUUUCAUCAUUUUUUUGCUCACAAAUUUCUACACACGGAGGGGAGCAAUCAUCAGAUUUAUCUUAAGAAUAAUUUCAACUUUAUAAUACUUUCAGAAGCCAUAGAUACAAUCAAUUUUGAUUUUAAAUACUAUUUCUUUUCCUCAGUUUCACUUUAUUUUGUUUUCCUUUUAGCUAGUUCAAUGUCUAUAGUUUGUCAGUAAGAAAUGAACACAUUAAUAAGAGUAUUUAUAGGAAAUAUUCUUUAGGAAUCAUUUCUUAAAAAUAGUCCUAUAUUUUAAAGCACAAUUUAUUUUUAAUUGAAUAUCCAAUUCGCUUAUGUCAAAUAUAAAUAAUUGAUUCUUAUGGAAAUUACAAACAGAAAAAGAAAAAUCUCUCCAAUAACAUUACCAAAAAUUAAGGACUGUGAACAUGUGUUGCUUUCCAGAUUUUGUUUAAGAUUUCUGUUAUAAUCUUACCCACAUGUAAAUUGUAACAUAUCCAAUAUAUAGUUUGUCUUAUGAUAUGUUCUCUUAGCCUUAUGCACAAAAGAAUUUUCCCAUGCCACUAUUUUUAAAAACAGUACUAUGAUAUCCGUAAAAUAUUAAAAGAAUGGAUGUAGUAUUAAUUAUUUCCAUGCUUUUAUUUUUUAGAUUAUUUCUUAUCCUUUUAGUAUUAAAAUACCAUUUUUAUGUAGUGAUUAACUUCUUUGCAUCAAUUACUAUCCACAUUUUUUAUUAAUACUGUAUCUUUAAAUUUAUUUUUUUAAUGGAAUUACUGGUUGGAUAGCAUAUGAUUUCUUAAGUUUUAUCACACAAAUGAACAUAAUUGUUAAAAAAUAUAAUUAAAAAUUUUUUCUGGGCUAUUGAUAAUUUGCCCAGAAUAUAUAUAAAUGAUGAAUAAAUAUAAAUGAUAAAUAUAUAUAAAUAUAAAAUGAUUUCAUGCUAGUUUUCAUGUAUUUUUCAUUUUAUUGCAUCAGUUACAUAGUGAAUCCUAAGUCUUCUGUGACAGCAGCUACUGAAAACUGCAUAUUGCUUUAAAGUCUACAGAAUACAGUGUAGCUUUGAGCACUUCAAUAUUUCUUCACUUUUCAUCUGUAACAUGGAUGCAUAAUUUUGCAGUAUAAGCACAAAAAUUUUGCUUUGUUUUGUUUUGUUUUUGUAAGUAGAGGUUUACAUAAAACCGGUAAUCAUAAAAUCUCUUUAUCAUUUCGCAAAAAGAAAAAGCAACUCUAAUCAGCAAGUUUUAAAAUGGAAGGUUAACUCCAUGGAAAUCUACUUUGAUGUAAUAAAUUCCAUCUUGAUGAUUACAUCUUUAAUGUAUGAAAUUCAGAUGGAAAAAUCAAAGUAAAUUUUUUGGACAUCAUGGAAAGCUAUUUCUA